This 337-nucleotide ribosomal RNA is filed under the name uncultured bacterium. Its description in RNAcentral is "bacterial SSU rRNA". It matches the Rfam family "Bacterial small subunit ribosomal RNA", at positions 568 to 898 of the family's 1533-position model. The record is from RNAcentral.
UGCGUAGGCGGUGCGGUAAGUUCUUUCUGUGAAACCUCCGGGCUUAACUCGGAGCCUGCAGGGGAAACUGCCGUGCUGGAGUAUGGGAGGAGGGUGAGUGGAAUUUCCCGGUGUAGCGGUGAAAUGCGUAGAUAUCGGGAGGAACACCUGUGGCGAAAGCGGCUCACUGGACCAUUACUGACGCUGAAGCACGAAAGCUAGGGGAGCAAACAGGAUUAGAUACCCUGGUAGUCCUAGCCCUAAACGAUGAUCGCUUGGUGUGACAGGUACCCAAUCCUGUCGUGCCGGAGCUAACGCGUUAAGCGAUCCGCCUGGGGAGUACGGUCGCAAGGCUGAA